GAUGAACGCUGGCGGCGUGCCUAAUACAUGCAAGUCGAGCGAACGGACGAGAAGCUUGCUUCUCUGAUGUUAGCGGCGGACGGGUGAGUAACACGUGGAUAACCUACCUAUAAGACUGGGAUAACUUCGGGAAACCGUAGCUAAUACCGGAUAAUAUUUUGAACCGCAUGGUUCAAAAGUGAAAGACGGUCUUGCUGUCACUUAUAGAUGGAUCCGCGCUGCAUUAGCUAGUUGGUAAGGUAACGGCUUACCAAGGCAACGAUGCAUAGCCGACCUGAGAGGGGGAUCGGCCACACUGGAACUGAGACACGGUCCAGACUCCUACGGGAGGCAGCAGUGGGGAAUCUUCCGCAAUGGGCGAAAGCCUGACGGAGCAACGCCGCGUGAGUGAUGAAGGUCUUCGGAUCGUAAAACUCUGUUAUUAGGGAAGAACAUAUGUGUAAGUAACUGUGCACAUCUUGACGGUACCUAAUCAGAAAGCCACGGCUAACUACGUG
RNAcentral lists this ribosomal RNA (497 nucleotides) under uncultured bacterium. RNAcentral describes it as "partial 16S ribosomal RNA". It matches the Rfam family "Bacterial small subunit ribosomal RNA", at positions 28 to 507 of the family's 1533-position model. The record is from RNAcentral.